GACGAACGCUGGCGGCGUGCCUAAUACAUGCAAGUAGAACGCUGAAGGAGGAGCUUGCUUCUCUGGAUGAGUUGCGAACGGGUGAGUAACGCGUAGGUAACCUGCCUGGUAGCGGGGGAUAACUAUUGGAAACGAUAGCUAAUACCGCAUAAGAGUAGAUGUUGCAUGACAUUUGCUUAAAAGGUGCAAUUGCAUCACUACCAGAUGGACCUGCGUUGUAUUAGCUAGUUGGUGAGGUAACGGCUCACCAAGGCAACGAUACAUAGCUGACCUGAGAGGGUGAUCGGCCACACUGGGACUGAGACACGGCCCAGACUCCUACGGGAGGCAGCAGUAGGGAAUCUUCGGCAAUGGACGGAAGUCUGACUGAGCAACGCCGCGUGAGUGAAGAAGGUUUUCGGAUCGUAAAGCUCUGUUGUAAGAGAAGAACGAGUGUGAGAGUGGAAAGUUCACACUGUG
This 459-nucleotide ribosomal RNA is filed under the name Streptococcus mitis. RNAcentral's name for it is "bacterial SSU rRNA". It matches the Rfam family "Bacterial small subunit ribosomal RNA", at positions 28 to 471 of the family's 1533-position model. The record is from RNAcentral. Lineage: Bacteria; Bacillati; Bacillota; Bacilli; Lactobacillales; Streptococcaceae.